Molecule: ribosomal RNA, 965 nt
Filed under: human metagenome
Description: bacterial LSU rRNA
Rfam family: Bacterial large subunit ribosomal RNA
Source: RNAcentral
GGUAGCGAAAUUCCUUGUCGGGUAAGUUCCGACCCGCACGAAAGGCGUAAUGAUCUGGGCACUGUCUCAACAAUAGACUCGGUGAAAUUGUAGUACCGGUAAAGAUGCCGGUUACCCGCAGCAGGACGGAAAGACCCCGUGGAGCUUCACUGUAGCUUGAUAUUGAUUUUCGGCAUUGCAUGUACAGGAUAGGUGGGAGACGUUGAGUUCAGCACGCCAGUGUUGGAGGAGUCACCGUUGGGAUACCACCCUUGUAAUGUUGGAAAUCUAACCUAGUACCGUGAUCCGGUACAGGGACAGUGUCAGGUGGGCAGUUUGACUGGGGCGGUCGCCUCCUAAAGAGUAACGGAGGCGCCCAAAGGUUCCCUCAGAGCGGACGGAAAUCGCUCGAAGAGUGUAAAGGCAGAAGGGAGCUUGACUGCGAGACGGACAGGUCGAGCAGGGACGAAAGUCGGGCUUAGUGAUCCGGUGGUGCCGAGUGGAAGGGCCAUCGCUCAACGGAUAAAAGCUACCCCGGGGAUAACAGGCUGAUACCCCCCAAGAGUUCACAUCGACGGGGGUGUUUGGCACCUCGAUGUCGGCUCGUCUCAUCCUGGGGCUGGAGUAGGUCCCAAGGGUUGGGCUGUUCGCCCAUUAAAGAGGUACGCGAGCUGGGUUCAGAACGUCGUGAGACAGUUCGGUCCCUAUCCGCUGUGGGCGUUGGAAAUUUGAGAGGAGCUAUCCUUAGUACGAGAGGACCGGGAUGGACAUACCUCUGGUGUACCGGUUGUUCUGCCAAGGGCAUAGCCGGGUAGCUACGUAUGGAAGGGAUAAGCGCUGAAAGCAUCUAAGUGCGAAGCCCACCUCAAGAUAAGAUUUCCUCCGAAAGGUAAGACCCGUGAGAGACUAUCACGUUGAUAGGUCAGAGGUGUAAGUACGGUAACGUAUUCAGCUGACUGAUACUAAUAGGUCGAACACUUGACCAA